GGGGGCGAUCUGGUUUCGACGGGUUGUCGAAGUCGGGCGCUGCGUGUCGAGGUCGUGGCAUUCCUCGUUAAACCGCUGCAAUUAUUGGUAAUUUAUAACUGCCGAUGAUAACUACGCUCUCGCUGCCUAACUAACCCUUAGGAACUAGCGACUACCGUCCAUGACGUCCUCUAGUGGGUCGCGGUAGUGAUAUGAGGACUGGCUCCCGAGCGCUGCUCGGCCGUAUCCGGGAGCGAGAUCACGUCGAGCUAGGGUUGGCUUGGCCCGUCUCUUCGCCUGGCCCACCCGAACUCAAGAGGAGACUACGCACGUAGACGCGUCCGUUGGACGCAAUUCGGACGCGGGUUCGAUUCCCGCCGCCUCCACCA
Molecule: transfer-messenger RNA, 368 nt
Filed under: bacterium
Lineage: Bacteria
Also listed under: 1 other name
Description: UBA4427 sp002719955 Standard tmRNA
Rfam family: transfer-messenger RNA
About the family: Bacterial tmRNA, also known as 10Sa RNA or SsrA, is named for its dual tRNA and mRNA-like properties. Its role is to liberate the mRNA from a stalled ribosome. To accomplish this part of the tmRNA is used as a reading frame that ends in a translation stop signal.
Source: RNAcentral